RNAcentral lists this transfer RNA (73 nucleotides) under Aldrovanda vesiculosa. RNAcentral describes it as "tRNA-Gln". It matches the Rfam family "tRNA". From Rfam's summary of the family: Transfer RNA (tRNA) molecules are approximately 80 nucleotides in length. Their secondary structure includes four short double-helical elements and three loops (D, anti-codon, and T loops). Lineage: Eukaryota; Viridiplantae; Streptophyta; Magnoliopsida; Caryophyllales; Droseraceae. The record is from RNAcentral.
UGGGGCGUGGCCAAGUGGUAAGGCACCGGGUUUUGGUCCCGGUAUUUCGAAGGUUCGAAUCCUUCCGUCCCAG